AACGAACGCUGGCGGCAGGCCUAACACAUGCAAGUCGAGCGAGAUCUUCGGGUCUAGCGGCGGACGGGUGAGUAACGCGUGGGAAUAUGCCUCUUGGUACGGAAUAGCCUCGGGAAACUGGGAGUAAUACCGUAUGUGCCCUUUGGGGGAAAGAUUUAUCGCCAAGAGAUUAGCCCGCGUUGGAUUAGGUAGUUGGUGGGGUAAUGGCCUACCAAGCCGACGAUCCAUAGCUGGUUUGAGAGGAUGAUCAGCCACACUGGGACUGAGACACGGCCCAGACUCUUAGGGAGGGCAGCAGGGGGGAUCUUGAGACAGAGGGGGCAACACUGAUCUGGCCUGGCCGGGGGGGGGUUGAAGGCAUUAGGGUUGAAAAGCUUUUUAAGCUGGGAAAAUAAUGACGGGCCCAAAAAAAGAAACCCCGGCAAAUCGCGG
This 432-nucleotide ribosomal RNA is filed under the name uncultured bacterium. Its description in RNAcentral is "partial 16S ribosomal RNA". It matches the Rfam family "Bacterial small subunit ribosomal RNA", at positions 29 to 506 of the family's 1533-position model. The record is from RNAcentral.